CCUACGGUGGGCAGCAGUGAGGAAUAUUGGUCAAUGGCCGGAAGGCUGAACCAGCCAUGUCGCGUGAAGGUCAGUGCCCUAUGGGCGUUAAACUUCUUUUGUGCGGGAGCAAUAAUGGUCACGUGUGGCCAGACGAGAGUACCGUACGAAUAAGCAUCGGCUAACUCCGUGCCAGCAGCCGCGGUAAUACGGGGGAUGCAAGCGUUAUCCGGAUUUAUUGGGUUUAAAGGGUGCGUAGGCGGUGAGGUAAGUCAGCGGUGAAAUGCCCCCGCUCAACGGGGUGAAGUGCCAUUGAUACCUCCUUUCUGGAAUGCGGAUGCCGUGGGAGGAAUGUGUGGUGUAGCGGUGAAAUGCAUAGAUAUCACACAGAACACCGAUUGCGAAGGCAUCUCACGAAUCCGCGAUUGACGCUGAUGCACGAAAGCGUGGGUAUCAAACAGGAUUAGAUACCCUAGUAGUC
Molecule: ribosomal RNA, 460 nt
Filed under: uncultured bacterium
Lineage: Bacteria
Description: partial 16S ribosomal RNA
Rfam family: Bacterial small subunit ribosomal RNA
Source: RNAcentral